UGGCUCAGGAUGAACGCUGGCGGCGUGCCUAAUACAUGCAAGUCGAACGAAACUUCUUUAUCACCGAGUGCUUGCACUCACCGGUAAAGGGUUGAGUGGCGAACGGGUGAGUAACACGUGGGCAACCUGCCCAAAAGAGGGGGAUAACACUUGGAAACAGGUGCUAAUACCGCAUAACCAUAGUUACCGCAUGGUAGCUAUGUAAAAGGUGGCUAUGCUACCGCUUUUGGAUGGGCCCGCGGCGCAUUAGCUAGUUGGUGGGGUAAAGGCUUACCAAGGCAAUGAUGCGUAGCCGAACUGAGAGGUUGAUCGGCCACAUUGGGACUGAGACACGGCCCAAACUCCUACGGGAGGCAGCAGUAGGGAAUCUUCCACAAUGGGCGAAAGCCUGAUGGUGCAACGCCGCGUGGGUGAAGAAGGUCUUCGGAUCGUAAAACCCUGUUGUUAGAGAAGAAAGUGCGUGAGAGUAACUGUUCACGUUUCGACGGUAUCUAACCAGAAAGCCACGGCUAACUACGUGCCAGCAGCCGCGGUAAUACGUAGGUGGCAAGCGUUAUCCGGAUUUAUUGGGCGUAAAGGGAACGCAGGCGGUCUUUUAAGUCUGAUGUGAAAGCCUUCGGCUUAACCGGAGUAGUGCAUUGGAAACUGGGAGACUUGAGUGCAGAAGAGGAGAGUGGAACUCCAUGUGUAGCGGUGAAAUGCGUAGAUAUAUGGAAGAACACCAGUGGCGAAAGCGGCUCUCUGGUCUGUAACUGACGCUGAGGUUCGAAAGCGUGGGUAGCAAACAGGAUUAGAUACCCUGGUAGUCCACGCCGUAAACGAUGAAUGUAAGUGUUGGAGGGUUUCCGCCCUUCAGUGCUGCAGCUAACGCAAUAAGCAUCCGCCUGGGGAGUACGACCGCAAGGUUGAAACUCAAAGGAAUUGACGGGGGCCCGCACAAGCGGUGGAGCAUGUGGUUUAAUUCGAAGCAACGCGAAGAACCUUACCAGGUCUUGACAUCUUUUGACAAUCCUAGAGAUAGGACUUUGCCUUCGGGGACAAAAUGACAGGUGGUGCAUGGUCGUCGUCAGCUCGUGUCGUGAGAUGUUGGGUUAAGUCCCGCAACGAGCGCAACCCUUAUUGUUAGUUGCCAGCAUUAAGUUGGGCACUCUAGCAAGACUGCCGGUGACAAACCGGAGGAAGGUGGGGAUGACGUCAAAUCAUCAUGCCCCUUAUGAUUUGGGCUACACACGUGCUACAAUGGACGGUACAACGAGUCGCAAGACCGCGAGGUUUAGCGAAUCUCUUAAAGCCGUUCUCAGUUCGGAUUGUAGGCUGCAACUCGCCUACAUGAAGUCGGAAUCGCUAGUAAUCGCGGAUCAGCAUGCCGCGGUAAAUACGUUCCCGGGCCUUGUACACACCGCCCGUCACACCAUGAGAGUUUGUAACACCCAAAGCCGGUGGGGUAACCUUUUGGAGCCAGCCGUCUAAGGUGGGACAGAUGAUUAGGGUGAAGUCGUAACAAGGUAACCG
RNAcentral lists this ribosomal RNA (1512 nucleotides) under uncultured bacterium. RNAcentral's name for it is "16S ribosomal RNA". It matches the Rfam family "Bacterial small subunit ribosomal RNA". The record is from RNAcentral.